CAGAAAGCAGCAGCUGCUGCAGAGGGAAGGGAUGAGAUGUUCCUGCCCAGCAGCUGGCUGCAGGGGAGGCUGAUACUGCUGUAAAUUACUCUGCCAGCUAAGCCUCCUGCUGGAGACAUGGCUUAUGUUAACAAAAUUUGUUCUGAGAUGUAGUUGUCACCUCCUGCAGCAUUGCAGAAGCAGAGGCUGAAAUACCUCAGCUGGCAUUGGCACUUCUGCCCUGGCUUUGCUGCAGCUUUACCAGACAGGUUCCCAUGGAUGAUGCUGAAUACUGGAGAAGAGGAGGGAGGAGCUCACUCUUUAUUAGAGAUUCUGCUACCCAGAUAAUAUGCUGCUGUAAACUGUGACCAUGGAAAACACUUCAGAUUUAAAGUGUUGCAAGAACAACUUUAUUUGGAGACCUACAUUCUCAUGAAAAUGUGUACUUCAUCCUGGCUUCAGAAAAAAAAGAAAAUUUUCUUCCAAAUGUCUGUAUUUGGGUUUUGAAUAAAAGUCAUUACUCUCCAUAGUGAGUAUUUUGU
This 521-nucleotide long non-coding RNA is filed under the name Parus major (Great Tit). RNAcentral describes it as "lncRNA (ENSPMJG00000011265.1)". The record is from RNAcentral. Lineage: Eukaryota; Metazoa; Chordata; Aves; Passeriformes; Paridae.